Molecule: small RNA, 127 nt
Filed under: Marmota monax (woodchuck)
Lineage: Eukaryota; Metazoa; Chordata; Mammalia; Rodentia; Sciuridae
Source: RNAcentral
GCUAGGCGAAGUGGCGCACACCUGUAAUCCCAGCAACUCAGGAGGCUGAGGCAACAGAAUCAUGAGUUCAAACCCAGCCUCAGCAAUUUAUGGAGAGCCUAAGCAACUCAGUGAGAUCUUGUCUCUA